GGAACACGGUCCAGACUCCUACGGGAGGCAGCACGUGAGGAAUAUUGCGCAAUGGGGGAAACCCUGACGCAGCGAUGCCGCGUGGGUGAAGAAGGCCUUCGGGUCGUAAAGCCCUGUCAGGCGGGAAGAAUAGCUCUAGGGCUAAUAUCCUUAGGGUGUGACGGUACCGCUGAAGGAAGCACCGGCUAACUCCGUGCCAGCAACCGCGGUAAGACGGAGGGUGCGAGCGUUAUUCGGAAUUAUUGGGCGUAAAGGGUGUGUAGGCGGCCGGUCAAGUCAGAUGUGAAAGCCCGGGGCUCAACCUCGGAAGUGCAUUUGAAACUGGUCGGCUUGAGUUCGGGAGAGGGAAGCGGAAUUCCGGGUGUAGAGGUGAAAUUCGUAGAUAUCCGGAGGAACACCGGUGGCGAAGGCGGCUUCCUGGACCGAAACUGACGCUGAGACACGAAAGCGUUGGGGAGCAAACAGGAUUAGAUACCCUGGUAGCUCC
This 487-nucleotide ribosomal RNA is filed under the name uncultured bacterium. RNAcentral describes it as "bacterial SSU rRNA". It matches the Rfam family "Bacterial small subunit ribosomal RNA", at positions 321 to 797 of the family's 1533-position model. The record is from RNAcentral.